CAAGUCUCAGGGUCACACCUGGAGAGUUUCCAGAACUCUACCAGCCUCGAUUAAGGGAGGGAGAGUCAAGCAGAUGUCUACUUAUUCCAUUCCUAGCUUGGGCAGUGGCUAGUGAGUGGAAGGCAAUCUCCUUCAAAA
Small nucleolar RNA from Tachyglossus aculeatus (Australian echidna), 138 nucleotides. The record is from RefSeq and is a predicted model, not a curated record. Lineage: Eukaryota; Metazoa; Chordata; Mammalia; Monotremata; Tachyglossidae.